This 180-nucleotide ribosomal RNA is filed under the name uncultured bacterium. RNAcentral's name for it is "partial 16S ribosomal RNA". It matches the Rfam family "Bacterial small subunit ribosomal RNA", at positions 1313 to 1500 of the family's 1533-position model. The record is from RNAcentral.
CGACUCCGUGAAGCUGGAUUCGCUAGUAAUCGCGCAUCAGCCAUGGCGCGGUGAAUACGUUCCCGGGCCUUGUACACACCGCCCGUCAAGCCAUGGAAGCCGGGGGCGCUUGAAGNGCGUUGCCGCAAGGCGCGCCCUAGAGCGAAACCGGUGACUGGGGCUAAGUCGUAACAAGGUAAC